CAGUAGCCGCGGGAAUACGAAGGGUGCAAGCGUUAAUCGGAAUUACUGGGCGUAAAGCGUGCGUAGGCGGUGAGUUAAGUCUGCUGUGAAAUCCCCGGGCUCAACCUGGGAAUGGCAGUGGAUACUGGCUCGCUAGAAUGUGUCAGAGGAUGGUGGAAUUCCCGGUGUAGCGGUGAAAUGCGUAGAGAUCGGGAGGAACAUCAGUGGCGAAGGCGGCCAUCUGGGACAACACUGACGCUCAGGUGCGAAAGCGUGGGGAGCAAACAGGAUUAGAUACCCCGGUAGUCCCUGUCUCUUAUAC
Molecule: ribosomal RNA, 301 nt
Filed under: uncultured bacterium
Lineage: Bacteria
Description: partial 16S ribosomal RNA
Rfam family: Bacterial small subunit ribosomal RNA
Source: RNAcentral